This is a non-coding RNA of Paramuricea clavata, 860 nucleotides long. The record is from the annotation of a GenBank genome assembly. NCBI's taxonomy places the organism in Eukaryota, Metazoa, Cnidaria, Anthozoa, Malacalcyonacea, Plexauridae.
CCCCCCCCCAAUAUUCGGCAUAAUAAAAAAAUAAUUAAAUAGUCCACUCCAACGUGCAGAGUGUUGAUGAUACAAAAUAAACGUAGGAGUACACUCAAACAGAAAAAGACAGUGCAAUACUCUGAAACUAAUUGCUCCUCGCUUGCAUUCACUGGUUUAUUGGACCAACUGUAAAGUUUUGAAACUCUAUUAUCUCCCCUGAAUAGAGUUUGCAGUGCCUUGUCAUGCAAAUAGCUUGCUUGCAAGGAACGUUUGGAAAUUUUACGAACAUUAUUUUUAGUUUUUAAUUCUUUUAGGAAAUAGUCUUGCCUAGAUUUAAUCUUUACGUCCUAAAUAUUAUUUACAUCGGAGUUGCAUCAUAAAUUGUACUCGGAUUCAAACGACACAAUGUCAAUGAUUUAAUAAAAGUAAAAGCAUAUUGUUUAUUGGCCUAUUGGGUUUACACUUUUACAGGUUCAUUUAACUCAAGUCUCAACAGACAAUCGGACAGGCCAAAUCCAUUGAUAUGACAACUUCAACUAUUAUCUGGAGCCCUUUCCAUUAUCGGCCCCAUUUGAUGUCCAGAUCAGUUGCUUCUAUGGUCCAGCCAUAUCCAUCUGGUGAUGGUGCAGGAAGGCUGCAAUACCAAGAGGUGCUUAUGUAAGAAAAUGGAUUUACAAUGCACAGAAUUAUGCCAUUGUGAAAAUAUGGAAAGCAUGCACAGAAUUGAUUGGAACUGACAGUGAUAAUGGACUUGAUGAAGAGUCUGAUGAUAAUGACAAUGAAUUUUAGAUUGUUCUAAAAUGUUAUUCUUGGUAUUGUCAGAUAUUGUUACACAUGUAUGAUUUAACAGGGUUCAGAAUUACCAAUGUGCAAAUUGC